ACGAACGCUGGCGGCGUGCCUCAUACAUGCAAGUAGAACGCACAGUUUAUACCGUAGCUUGCUACACCAUAGACUGUGAGUUGCGAACGGGUGAGUAACGCGUAGGUAACCUGCCUGGUAGCGGGGGAUAACUAUUGGAAACGAUAGCUAAUACCGCAUAAUAUUGAUUAUUGCAUGAUAAUUGAUUGAAAGAUGCUAUUGCAUCACUACCAGAUGGACCUGCGUUGUAUUAGCUAGUAGGUGAGGUAACGGCUCACCUAGGCGACGAUACAUAGCCGACCUGAGAGGGUGAUCGGCCACACUGGGACUGAGACACGGCCCAGACUCCUACGGGAGGCAGCAGUAGGGAAUCUUCGGCAAUGGACGAAAGUCUGACCGAGCAACGCCGCGUGAGUGAAGAAGGUUUUCGGAUCGUAAAGCUCUGUUGUAAGAGAAGAACGGGUGUGAGAGUGGAAAGUUCACACUGUGACGGUAUCUUACCAGAAAGAGACGGCUAACUACGUG
This 504-nucleotide ribosomal RNA is filed under the name uncultured bacterium. RNAcentral describes it as "partial 16S ribosomal RNA". It matches the Rfam family "Bacterial small subunit ribosomal RNA", at positions 29 to 507 of the family's 1533-position model. The record is from RNAcentral.